ACCCCACAUCCAACCCCACCACGCCUCUAAUCGUGGAGUUCUUCUUUCUUACUUGUGUGGUGGUUGUGGUGGUGGAGGGCUCAUUCCGCGGUGAGUGAAGAAGCCCUCAAGUGCACGCCGAGGAGACGGUGGUGAGUGAAGCGAAGGAGCAGUGCGGAGGGGGUGAUGCGGUCCGCUUUGCUUUCCACUGGGCCAGCACAGAAGGAUGUCUGCAGAGGAUUACAGAGAACAACCCUGCUGCUACGAGUCCACCAGUGUGUGCCACUACCUUCUGGCUCCCCUAACCUAAUAGUAAUAAUAUAUUUGCAUAUAAAGGGUGGCCCAAAAGUCAGAACACACAUUUAAUUAAUUUUACACAUAGCAUUAAAUAUGUAAUCAGCAGUAUAUCUGUUAUCUUAUUAAUGUGUGCAAGCACUGGUGUCUUGCAAGGCCGGAGGGGUUACAUUUUGAAGUUUCUGAAUACAACAAGACUCCAUCCUCUGCAGCAGAACGGAUGCCUUCUGGGUGUGUAACUGCGUGUAAUUGUCGUGGAGUGGCGUGACAUGGCCACUUAUGUCAGAGGUUUGCAGUUGACUUGGGCAGGCCACCCUGGUUAAUGCUGUGGGUGUGUUCGUUAAUCAGUCCGCUUUACCUGGCGAGAGUCGUGGUGGCAGAAAGUUAGGUAGUGGCGGUCCAGGCCUCGCCUUCGACAGACUAGCACGUCUACACUAAACACUACUACUGCUACACAAGAAAACACAAGUCAAGUCAGGACCCAAAGUUUUUGAUGACAUCUUUCCAGUGAGUGCUGAGUCUAUAACCUUCCUCGGUUGAAAUUGUCUCUGUGUCAGGCAGAUUUGAAACACGGUAGGACCAAUACUUCUGCCGUAGCUGAUCAUUAUUUUAAUGCGGCUGGCUCACGAAAUUGAUUUCUCUAAGACGAGUAUUAAAGAUUUGUUCAUGAAGCCAUCCAUAUAUACAAACAGACAAUUUCAACUUAGAGGAAGGUUUCGACCCGGCAAUCAUUGGAAAGAUGUCAUCAGCCACUUGGGGUCCUGACUUGGCUUGUGUGUUCAUGUCAAUCAAUCUCCACCGUCAGCAGUGUGGUGUGUGGAGCGGGGUGCAAGGAUUUUAGCGGCAUUGUUGCUGCAUUGGCACUCGUGCACUGCCCAUGCCCUGAGCUACGCCCAUCCCCAAACCUUUAUAAACAGCUGGCCUUUAGAGGCUGACUCCUUUGCGUGAUGACGACCGGUUGUGUUGUGAUCGAAACGUCGUGAUAUUUUUAUUCACUUAUUUUUUUAUAUCUACGUGACUUUACCGAAAAAACUAUAGAACAUUUUAAUUCAAACAAGAGUAGGCCAUUGUUUAGGCAAGCAAGCUUAAAGUAAUUUCAGUAGCAUGCCCUGUACAUUGCAAUUGUACACGGGAACUUGUAUAACACGAUAAUUUUCACUCGGUCGGAACGUGUACAAUUGUUUUGCAAAAGCAAUAAAUAAUUUUGAAAUGAAUGCUAACGUAAGUA
Non-coding RNA from Petromyzon marinus (sea lamprey), 1501 nucleotides. The record is from RefSeq and is a predicted model, not a curated record. NCBI's taxonomy places the organism in Eukaryota, Metazoa, Chordata, Hyperoartia, Petromyzontiformes, Petromyzontidae.